AAGAACUCUCAGAUCAGUCUCCAC
RNAcentral lists this non-coding RNA (24 nucleotides) under Arabidopsis thaliana (thale cress). Lineage: Eukaryota; Viridiplantae; Streptophyta; Magnoliopsida; Brassicales; Brassicaceae. The record is from RNAcentral.